Magnolia sinica is the source of this 1280-nucleotide long non-coding RNA. RefSeq lists it as uncharacterized. The record is from RefSeq and is a predicted model, not a curated record. The transcript is spliced from 2 exons. NCBI's taxonomy places the organism in Eukaryota, Viridiplantae, Streptophyta, Magnoliopsida, Magnoliales, Magnoliaceae.
UAUAUAUAUAUAAACUUUUAUUUAAUAAUUUACAAUAAAUAUUUUUAAAUGUUUUUAUUUUCAGUGAGAUUUUUCUGGGAUAUGAUAAUAUCCUGAGAAAAAACCUCAAACAUUGAAAAUCUCCUGAGAAAUCUCUGGGCCGAGAAAUUACUGAGAACGAGAUUUUUCACUUUUUAGUAUGCUAGGAAUACUCAUUUUAGAUGACAGGUAUCUGUAAGGCCCACUGCUCUGGACUCCAAUCUGUAGCUUUGGGAUAUGGUUUUGUACUGGGUAAUGGCCUGCUCUCUGGUUGGUAGGUGGCCUUGAAGCAAUACGUACUGAUGUGGAGGUGGUUCCCUGUUUCUGGAUCAUAAUGUUUCCUUUAUUGGUUAGAUUCGAAAGAUACCCGACACCAUUUCUUUGAUCAUGCACCUGCAACAAUACAAGGAUUGCUUGAUUUUCGAAAAGGUUUAGCUUUUAUGCAUAUAUGAAGCCUAUUUUAAUAAGAAAUGUGUUUUUACCUGGACUGAUGUUCUGAUCUGGUUGUGUUGAAGUGGCAUGGUUACUGCAAUUUCAUAUACCAGGGAGGAAAGUCAGAUGGUUUCACGGGGGUUUUCACUGGAAGAUGACAAGUCUUGUUACUGAUUGUCCAAGCUGCAUCCAUGGUCAGUUUUGAUCCAGCAUUGUUCAAUGGGCUACAGUUUUCAUGGCAAUCUCGAGGGUUGGGAUUUGUUCUGAGGGUCCUUUAACAAAAAAGGCUUCUGCUCAUGGCUGCUAAUCAAGAUACAGGGUUCUUUUUAUUACUCUUUGAUUUGGGUGUUUUCCAUUGUGGGUCGAAAUUUUAUAUUGCUGGAGAAACACCAAGGGCCUAGCAGCAGCAUGCGAGGAUCCAACACAUUCAUCCAGAAGGUUUUUGUCAAAAUUCACACUUCGCGGGGAUCUCACCUUCCAGGUGAAGUGACUUACCAGUAGUUUGGACUUUGGCAGCUUGGAUUUGGAUUUUUACUCCAAAUCCAGAUUCCUGAGACUUCCAUUCAGUUUGUUGUGCUUGGGAAACUGGUUCUUAGAAACUGAUUCUUAAAUUUGUACAUGGAGUCUACAUUUACUGAAAUUUAUUAACCGACUAUAUUGCGGAACAUACUGUUCCCACAGCAGUCCCAAAAUUAGAUGGGUCCAACAAUCCUAACCUCUCAUUUUGGGCCACUUGUUUGUUGAAAUAGGACUGUUGUAUGUGUUUCAUUUUUAACUGUUCAAUGAAUGUCUAUCAAUCUGAUAAUCAGAUAAUUAAAUAGUUCAUGAUA